This 496-nucleotide ribosomal RNA is filed under the name uncultured bacterium. RNAcentral describes it as "partial 16S ribosomal RNA". It matches the Rfam family "Bacterial small subunit ribosomal RNA", at positions 28 to 507 of the family's 1533-position model. The record is from RNAcentral.
GAUGAACGCUGGCGGUGUGCCUAAUACAUGCAAGUCGAGCGAACAGACGAGGAGCUUACUCCUCUGACGUUAGCGGCGGACGGGUGAGUAACACGUGGAUAACCUACCUAUAAGACUGGGAUAACUUCGGGAAACCGGAGCUAAUACCGGAUAACAUGUUGAACCGCAUGGUUCAACAGUGAAAGACGGUCUUGCUGUCACUUAUAGAUGGAUCCGCGUCGCAUUAGCUAGUUGGUAAGGUAACGGCUCACCAAGGCAACGAUGCGUAGCCGACCUGAGAGGGUGAUCGGCCACACUGAAACUGAGACCCGUUCCAGACUCCUACGGGAGGCAGCAGUAGGAAUCUUCCGCAAUGGGCGAAAGCCUGACGGAGCAACGCCGCGUGAGUGAAGAAGGUCUUCGGAUCGUAAAACUCUGUUAUUAGGGAAGAACAAAUGUGUAAGUAACUAUGCACGUCUUGACGGUACCUAAUCAGAAAGCCACGGCUAACUACGUG